RNAcentral lists this transfer-messenger RNA (358 nucleotides) under Paracoccaceae bacterium. It matches the Rfam family "Alphaproteobacteria transfer-messenger RNA". Rfam says of the family: Bacterial tmRNA, also known as 10Sa RNA or SsrA, is named for its dual tRNA and mRNA-like properties. RNAcentral also lists the same sequence under 1 other name. Lineage: Bacteria; Pseudomonadati; Pseudomonadota; Alphaproteobacteria; Rhodobacterales; Paracoccaceae. The record is from RNAcentral.
GUCCUUGCGCCGCCUGCCCCCGGUCCCUAUAUUCAGUCUUGUCAGGGGCAACCCUGACUAUGGCGAUAAACGCACCUGUAAUAAUCGGCUCGGACCCGGGGGCGGUACCCGGCGGCUCCACCAGACCUUCCCGUUCAUUGCGGGCGUGUGGGGCCGAAAUAGGAUCGACGAACGACCAAAGAGGCCAGCUUUUGCUCGGUGAGGUACCACCGUUAUCGGUCCGCAAGUACAGUUGCCAAUGACAACCGUGCUCCGAUGGCUCUGGCUGCGUAAGCAGUUCGAUCUGUCGAAACUUAAGCCCCUGCGCUUAGCCGCGUAGGGCGGGGUUCGCAGGUACCUGGCAACAGAAACCUGCACC